RNAcentral lists this long non-coding RNA (306 nucleotides) under Mus caroli (Ryukyu mouse). RNAcentral describes it as "predicted gene 15642 (MGP_CAROLIEiJ_G0002736.1)". The record is from RNAcentral. Lineage: Eukaryota; Metazoa; Chordata; Mammalia; Rodentia; Muridae.
AGUUGUCACCAUGCUUUUAAUUACACCAUGUGAAUCACAACAAUGACUUCAUUUAGAUUUCAAAUAGAAAAAGAGAGCUGGAAAUAGCUCAGCCUACGGUAAGGGGCUUGCCAUGUAAGCACAGGCCCGCAUGGGAUACCCAGUACCCACGGGUGGGGGGGAGGGAAGCAGGCAGCACCAUUAGAGUAAAGGCCUCAGACACAGCCAUCAGUUACAGCUGAGAAAGGCGCUCUAACACCCGCUCCCCCCCCCCCAGCUGCUGUGGGAAAGGACCACUGCUGUUCUCACUGCUGAGAACUGAUAGAA